ACCACUCAGGAGAAGAAGAGCCGUCAGGUUCCAUUGACAAAGUCUGAUGUGGCUAGGUUAACGUUAGCUAGGUAUCACUAAUGAUUUUUUUGCAGUGUUGGAUUUUUCCACAUUUCAUUAACUUAAUAUGGGCAAGAGAGACAAUCGAGUGGCUUAUAUUAACCCCAUUGCUGCAGCACGAGCCAGAGGACCAGUACAGAACUCUGGACCAACAAUACAAGAUUAUUUAAGCAGACCUCGGCCAACAUGGGAGGAGUUAAAGGAGCAGCUGGAGAAGAAGAAGAAGGGCUCCAGAGCUCUGGCUGACUUUGAAGACAAAAUGAACGAUAGAUGGAAAAAAGAACUGGCGAAGAACAGAGAGAAGCUCUUAGGAGGGAGUGAAAAAGACAAAGAUAAAGACAAAAAGAUCACAGACAAGGAGAAGGAGGAGAAGAAAGAAAAAAAAGAAAAAAAGAAGAAAGAGAAGAAGAAAUCCAGCAGGCAUUCUUCAUCUUCCUCCUCCUCAUCGAGUUCUGAUUCUUCCAGCAGCUCCUCCUCAGAGUCUGAAGACGAUGAUGAAAAGAAGAAUGUGAAGAAGAAGCGGAAGAGAAGGAAGUCAUCGGUCAGGAGAGCAUCAGACAGCUCAGAGGAAGAAUCUGAUGCUGAUAGCAAGAAGAAGAAGAAAAAAAUCAAGGAAGAAGUGGACAAAGACAAGGAUGACAAGAGCCGCAAAAGAAAAAAGAAGGCCGAGCGAAGCUAUAAAGACUCUACUUCCGAGUCAUCUGCAGACUCUGAAGGGGAAGAGCUGCGUGCUCCCGCUGAAUCGUUCUCAGGCAUGCAAGCGUGCGCGAUGCCAACGGAUCAGCAAGAUCCUGGUCGAAUGAGAGCUUAUCAACCAACCAACCGACUGGAAGGUGUCGGCCUUAGUAACACACCUAGCCACCUAAGGAGCUCUAGCACUGAUGUAAUUCUUUUGGUAAGGUAAAAAGUCAGUGUGAGUCUUGGAAAAUUGAAGACACUGAGCAAGAGCAUGUAGGACAGCUAAGUGGAAGACCCCCCACUAAACUGAUUGAUAACAUUAAAGUCGCAGCAUCGACUCAUUCUUGUGACAUUUUUACUGAUCCAGGGUUCCACAGACUGAGCGUUUGGAUCUUUGAUGUAAAGAUCAGUUACUGAUUGAUAUAGGUUUAUCUCUUCACCACAAGUUCUUAUGUAAUUUACUACUUUAAAUAUUUCCUCAUUCGACACAAUUUUAAUCAGUGAAGCAGUCUUCUUUGUUCCUCUUUUAUGUCUCUGUUCCUUUUUUAUUAUUCAAAUGUAUGAGACAAGAUAUAACAGUCAAAUGGAUGGAUAGUUUUAUUUAAUUUCUACGCUGUUUUUGACUCAAAACAACAGACCGUGGAUUAUUCUUACUCUCAGUUCUCCCUGUAUGCUCAUGUUCUGUCACUCUCUCACUCUACCAACUUAUGUAAGGUUCUCUUCUUCAUUGAGAGUCUUAUUCAUGAUAAUAAAUGGAAAUUAUUUCUCAUUCAGUCUCCACUGCUACUUCAACUCCUUUUUACCAUUUGCAGGAAUUCUUUGAUCAAACGCGGUCUAAAUCAGGAGCAGGGUUGUGACCUCAUGGUAACCCUUGGAUUGACAGGCACUGCAAGUUCAACUCGGGCCACAUUUAAGGUUGCAUGAGACGGACUUCUCUCUCUGAUAGAGAGAGAUUAAGUCAGAGGCCAUUUCUCAAUUCUACCUCGUUGGCACUAGGCCUUGUUUUGGAGUGACUUUGUAGCACUUUUGGAAAGGAGACAACCUGUUUACAAAGUGGACACCAUUAUCAUUUUUAAAAUCAGCUUAAUGCAGGUGACUCAAAAAUUGUUUUAUAAGCUUCUCACUGUCAAAAAAGAUGUAUAAUUCAUUAGCACAUUUAAGUGUCAACAUAAAACAUAUUCAAACCCAUAUUUGUGCAUAAAUACUUGCAGAGAUAUGGCCUCCUUUCAACUCACAAAAAAAAGGUGACAGUGUUGCCUUUAAAAAAAUGUCCUUUACCACAGGAGCUAUUGCUCUAUACUGAAGUCCCCUCUUUGAUAGUUAAAGAUUGCAUUCAAAGCUUUGUGAAACAAGUUACGGGGCUCCACACAGGAUAUUGUCCUGUGUUUUAAUCUUCAGUUACUUUAAUCUGUAGUGGAUAGAGGUGCUGCCUCAGUAGUUCUCAUAAAUGUAAAACCUUUUGGUUCAUAAAGAUGACUCUAUAAAGAGGGUUUAACGUAUAUUUCUUAAACCUGCAUACUGCCGCAGUUGUAUACCUGUGAAGAAAUAAAAAAUUGUGAAAUUGUGGGAGAGAUUGUUGCAAAAAGGGAAUUUUUUUCAACAGUUUGGACCUCAAGACUUCUCUUUUCCAUGUUCUCAUUUGAGCUUUUCUUCCCUACAGGCUGAGGCCAAGAAGAAAAAGAGAAGUAGUGAAGAAAAGGAGAAAAUUACAGACAAAUCAAAGAAGAAGAGGAAAAAGAAGCACAAAAAACACGGCAGGAAAAAGAAAAAGAAGACGGCGUCACAUUCAGACUCUGAGCUCGACUA
This is an RNA transcript of Cheilinus undulatus (humphead wrasse), 2544 nucleotides long. It is a transcript of the gene named family with sequence similarity 133 member B, with no coding region annotated. Lineage: Eukaryota; Metazoa; Chordata; Actinopteri; Labriformes; Labridae. The transcript has 11 exons. The record is from RefSeq and is a predicted model, not a curated record.